This 82-nucleotide transfer RNA is filed under the name Schistocephalus solidus. It matches the Rfam family "tRNA". Rfam says of the family: Transfer RNA (tRNA) molecules are approximately 80 nucleotides in length. Their secondary structure includes four short double-helical elements and three loops (D, anti-codon, and T loops). Further hydrogen bonds mediate the characteristic L-shaped molecular structure. tRNAs have two regions of fundamental functional importance: the anti-codon, which is responsible for specific mRNA codon recognition, and the 3' end, to which the tRNAs corresponding amino acid is attached (by aminoacyl-tRNA synthetases). tRNAs cope with the degeneracy of the genetic code in two manners: having more than one tRNA (with a specific anti-codon) for a particular amino acid; and 'wobble' base-pairing, i.e. permitting non-standard base-pairing at the 3rd anti-codon position. The record is from Rfam by way of RNAcentral. Lineage: Eukaryota; Metazoa; Platyhelminthes; Cestoda; Diphyllobothriidea; Diphyllobothriidae.
GGUCUCGUAGCUCAGUUGGCUAGAGCGUUAGCUGUACUAAAGACUUCCCUUGCUGGCAUGGGUUCAAAGCCCACCAAGGCCA